UGGGGAAUAUUGCACAAUGGACGAAAGUCUGAUGCAGCAACGCCGCGUGGAGGAUGACACAUUUCGGUGCGUAAACUCCUUUUAUAUAGGAAGAUAAUGACGGUACUAUAUGAAUAAGCACCGGCUAACUCCGUGCCAGCAGCCGCGGUAAUACGGAGGGUGCAAGCGUUACUCGGAAUCACUGGGCGUAAAGAGCGUGUAGGCGGGUAUAUAAGUCAGAAGUGAAAUCCAAUAGCUUAACUAUUGAACUGCUUUUGAAACUGUGUACCUAGAAUGUGGGAGAGGUAGAUGGAAUUUCUGGUGUAGGGGUAAAAUCCGUAGAGAUCAGAAGGAAUACCGAUUGCGAAGGCGAUCUACUGGAACAUUAUUGACGCUGAGGCAUGAAAGCGUGGGGAGCAAGCA
RNAcentral lists this ribosomal RNA (402 nucleotides) under uncultured prokaryote. RNAcentral describes it as "bacterial SSU rRNA". It matches the Rfam family "Bacterial small subunit ribosomal RNA", at positions 355 to 774 of the family's 1533-position model. The record is from RNAcentral.